Molecule: transfer RNA, 63 nt
Filed under: Glyptotermes satsumensis
Lineage: Eukaryota; Metazoa; Arthropoda; Insecta; Blattodea; Kalotermitidae
Description: tRNA-Thr
Rfam family: tRNA
About the family: Transfer RNA (tRNA) molecules are approximately 80 nucleotides in length. Their secondary structure includes four short double-helical elements and three loops (D, anti-codon, and T loops). Further hydrogen bonds mediate the characteristic L-shaped molecular structure. tRNAs have two regions of fundamental functional importance: the anti-codon, which is responsible for specific mRNA codon recognition, and the 3' end, to which the tRNAs corresponding amino acid is attached (by aminoacyl-tRNA synthetases). tRNAs cope with the degeneracy of the genetic code in two manners: having more than one tRNA (with a specific anti-codon) for a particular amino acid; and 'wobble' base-pairing, i.e. permitting non-standard base-pairing at the 3rd anti-codon position.
Source: RNAcentral
GUUUUAAUAAUUUAAGGAAAAUCUUGGUCUUGUAAACCAAAAAUAAGCUAAGCUUUUAAAACU